Molecule: small nuclear RNA, 115 nt
Organism: Larimichthys crocea (large yellow croaker)
Lineage: Eukaryota; Metazoa; Chordata; Actinopteri; Sciaenidae
Gene: U5
Rfam family: U5 spliceosomal RNA
About the family: U5 RNA is a component of both types of known spliceosome. The precise function of this molecule is unknown, though it is known that the 5' loop is required for splice site selection and p220 binding, and that both the 3' stem-loop and the Sm site are important for Sm protein binding and cap methylation.
Source: Ensembl
ACACUCAUGUUUCUCUUCAGAUCGUAUAAAUCUUUCGCCUUUUACUAAAGAUUUCCGUGGAGAGGAACAAUAUGAGUUCAAUUUAAUUUUUUGAUGCCCUGCCUAGUGCGGGGCU